RNAcentral lists this ribosomal RNA (484 nucleotides) under uncultured bacterium. RNAcentral's name for it is "partial 16S ribosomal RNA". It matches the Rfam family "Bacterial small subunit ribosomal RNA", at positions 30 to 507 of the family's 1533-position model. The record is from RNAcentral.
AUUGAACGCUGGCGGCAGGCCUAACACAUGCAAGUCGAGCGGAUGAAGGGAGCUUGCUCCUGGAUUCAGCGGCGGACGGGUGAGUAAUGCCUAGGAAUCUGCCUGGUAGUGGGGGAUAACGUCCGGAAACGGGCGCUAAUACCGCAUACGUCCUGAGGGAGAAAGUGGGGGAUCUUCGGACCUCACGCUAUCAGAUGAGCCUAGGUCGGAUUAGCUAGUUGGUGGGGUAAAGGCCUACCAAGGCGACGAUCCGUAACGGGUCUGAGAGGAUGAUCAGUCACACUGGAACUGAGACACGGUCCAGACUCCUACGGGAGGCAGCAGUGGGGAAUAUUGGACAAUGGGCGAAAGCCUGAUCCAGCCAUGCCGCGUGUGUGAAGAAGGUCUUCGGAUUGUAAAGCACUUUAAGUUGGGAGGAAGGGCAGUAAGUUAAUACCUUGCUGUUUUGACGUUACCAACAGAAUAAGCACCGGCUAACUUCGUG